This 892-nucleotide ribosomal RNA is filed under the name uncultured bacterium. RNAcentral's name for it is "bacterial SSU rRNA". It matches the Rfam family "Bacterial small subunit ribosomal RNA", at positions 44 to 917 of the family's 1533-position model. The record is from RNAcentral.
CGGCCUACACAUGCAGUCGAUCGGAAACGAGUUAUCUGAACCUUCGGGGAACGAUAACGGCGUCGAGCGGCGGACGGGUGAGUAAUGCCUAGGAAAUUGCCCUGAUGUGGGGGAUAACCAUUGGAAACGAUGGCUAAUACCGCAUAACGCCUACGGGCCAAAGAGGGGGACCUUCGGGCCUCUCGCGUCAGGAUAUGCCUAGGUGGGAUUAGCUAGUUGGUGAGGUAAUGGCUCACCAAGGCGACGAUCCCUAGCUGGUCUGAGAGGAUGAUCAGCCACACUGGAACUGAGACACGGUCCAGACUCCUACGGGAGGCAGCAGUGGGGAAUAUUGCACAAUGGGCGCAAGCCUGAUGCAGCCAUGCCGCGUGUGUGAAGAAGGCCUUCGGGUUGUAAAGCACUUUCAGUCGUGAGGAAGGUAGUGUAGUUAAUAGCUGCAUUAUUUGACGUUAGCGACAGAAGAAGCACCGGCUAACUCCGUGCCAGCAGCCGCGGUAAUACGGAGGGUGCGAGCGUUAAUCGGAAUUACUGGGCGUAAAGCGCAUGCAGGUGGUUUGUUAAGUCAGAUGUGAAAGCCCGGGGCUCAACCUCGGAAUUGCAUUUGAAACUGGCAGACUAGAGUACUGUAGAGGGGGGUAGAAUUUCAGGUGUAGCGGUGAAAUGCGUAGAGAUCUGAAGGAAUACCGGUGGCGAAGGCGGCCCCCUGGACAGAUACUGACACUCAGAUGCGAAAGCGUGCGGAGCAAACAGGAUUAGAUACCCUGGUAGUCCACGCCGUAAACGAUGUCUACUUGGAGGUUGUGGCCUUGAGCCGUGGCUUUCGGAGCUAACGCGUUAAGUAGACCGCCUGGGGAGUACGGUCGCAAGAUUAAAACUCAAAUGAAUUGACGGA